UGUACUGAUUCAAAAUUUAACACGAAGUGAGUGGCGAACGGGUGAGUAACACGUGGGUAACCUGCCCAGAAGUAGGGGAUAACACCUGGAAACAGAUGCUAAUACCGUAUAACAGAGAAAACCGCAUGGUUUUCUUUUAAAAGAUGGCUCUGCUAUCACUUCUGGAUGGACCCGCGGCGUAUUAGCUAGUUGGUGAGGUAAAGGCUCACCAAGGCAGUGAUACGUAGCCGACCUGAGAGGGUAAUCGGCCACAUUGGGACUGAGACACGGCCCAGACUCCUACGGGAGGCAGCAGUAGGGAAUCUUCCACAAUGGACGCAAGUCUGAUGGAGCAACGCCGCGUGAGUGAAGAAGGGUUUCGUCUCGUAAAGCUCUGUUGUUAAAGAAGAACGUGGGGUGAGGAGUAACUGUUUACCCAGUGACGGUAUUUAACCAGAAAGCCACGGCUAACUACGUGCCGGCAGCCGCGGUAAUACGUAGGUGGCAAGCGUUAUCCGGAUUUAUUGGGGCGUAAAGCGAGCGCUGCCGGUCUUUUA
RNAcentral lists this ribosomal RNA (536 nucleotides) under Pediococcus pentosaceus. RNAcentral describes it as "bacterial SSU rRNA". It matches the Rfam family "Bacterial small subunit ribosomal RNA", at positions 63 to 585 of the family's 1533-position model. The record is from RNAcentral. Lineage: Bacteria; Bacillati; Bacillota; Bacilli; Lactobacillales; Lactobacillaceae.